ACCCUGCAAUCAAAUAGAUUGUCCCAAGGGCGCCAUAUUCUAGGAGCCCAAGUUAUGCUAUUGAAAAUUCAUUCCUCUAGCAGUUCCGGUUUGAGCAUUCCGUUCCCUUUUUCAAACUCCACUUCUUUUCAUAUAGCAUCCCUGAUCAAAGAGAGAACAAUAUCCAUUUCAAAACAUUUCUAACAGAUUCCUUAGUUCGGACCGACGAAGUAA
This 213-nucleotide ribosomal RNA is filed under the name Triticum aestivum (bread wheat). RNAcentral's name for it is "partial small subunit ribosomal RNA". The record is from RNAcentral. Lineage: Eukaryota; Viridiplantae; Streptophyta; Magnoliopsida; Poales; Poaceae.